Long non-coding RNA from Quercus lobata, 810 nucleotides. RefSeq lists it as uncharacterized. The transcript has 5 exons. Lineage: Eukaryota; Viridiplantae; Streptophyta; Magnoliopsida; Fagales; Fagaceae. The record is from RefSeq and is a predicted model, not a curated record.
CACAAGCUUCAAUGACCAAAAACCUUCAAUUAUAGUAUUUAUUAUUUUAUUUCACUUACACUAGGCUGUUUAGGCGGUUUACAUUUCAACCGAGGCUUAUUAUCACUGCUAUUAUUAUUAUCUUAUUUAUAUUUUAAUUUUGCUACUCCUAUCUCACUUAGUACUAAAUUAAUGUUUGUUUUAAUAAUGGGUUUUGUGACGUGUUAAUGGGUCUAGUUUUCGAUGUGUUUUGCAGGUGGAGAGAAGGAUUGAUUUGGUCUAUGGAGGUGGGAGCGUGGGAUUGAUGGGUCUUGUUUCUCAGGCAGUUCAUGAUGGUGGGCGCCAUGUUCUAGGGUUCAUGAUUGUAGUGUCAGUACACCGGGACUUAAAGUUAGAAAGAUUGAGAUAGAAAGGUGGAAGGAAGAGUGCGGCCAAAUGUUUCCUGUAGUUGGGAGUGGUAGAUUUAUCACAGCGCCAGUAAUCACUGAAGAUGGUCAACCCAUUCAAGAUCCAUUAGUGCUUUUAUAAAUAAACCCAGACAAGGGACAGGCUUUACCUCCUGAUGACAAUGGUGGGGUAAAUGUUAGAGGCAAUGGUUUGGAAACAGUGAAGGAUAAGAAAGCAAUCCAGUGGAUGCUGACUCUGCAUCAAAUAGGAAGUAGAUUCCUUGUAGGCUGCUUUAACAGGAGUUAUAGUUUUCACAUCCACUCCAGACAAAGAAUCAGACAAGUACUAUCUUGGACCUGCACCAUUGGAGGAAAUGGCCAGGUUGGCACUUGGCACACGCAUGAUCAUUUGAAUGUACAUUCUAUUCUUUAGAGGUCAGGAUAU